UGGUGGAGUGAUUUGUCUGGUUAAUUCCGUUAACGAACGAGACCUUCGUCUGCUAAAUAGUGUUGCGCAUCUUCGGAUGCUCAGUUCACUUCUUAGAGAGACUUCAUGGGUUUACCAUGAGGAAGUUGGAGGCAAUAACG
RNAcentral lists this ribosomal RNA (140 nucleotides) under uncultured eukaryote. RNAcentral describes it as "partial 18S ribosomal RNA". It matches the Rfam family "Eukaryotic small subunit ribosomal RNA", at positions 1299 to 1457 of the family's 1831-position model. The record is from RNAcentral.